RNAcentral lists this ribosomal RNA (450 nucleotides) under uncultured bacterium. RNAcentral's name for it is "partial 16S ribosomal RNA". It matches the Rfam family "Bacterial small subunit ribosomal RNA", at positions 354 to 796 of the family's 1533-position model. The record is from RNAcentral.
GUGGGGAAUAUUGGACAAUGGGCAAAAGCCUGAUCCAGCCAUGCCGCGUGUGUGAAGAAGGUCUUCGGAUUGUAAAGCACUUUAAGUUGGGAGGAAGGGCAGUAAGUUAAUACCUUGCUGUUUUGACGUUACCGACAGAAUAAGCACCGGCUAACUUCGUGCCAGCAGCCGCGGUAAUACGAAGGGUGCAAGCGUUAAUCGGAAUUACUGGGCGUAAAGCGCGCGUAGGUGGUUUUGUAAGUUGGAGGUGAAAUCCCCGGGCUCAACCUGGGAACUGCCUCCAAAACUGCAUGACUAGAGUACGGUAGAGGGUAGUGGAAUUUCCUGUGUAGCGGUGAAAUGCGUAGAUAUAGGAAGGAACACCAGUGGCGAAGGCGACUACCUGGACUGAUACUGACACUGAGGUGCGAAAGCGUGGGGAGCGAACGGGAUUAGAUACCCUUGUAGUCC